Molecule: ribosomal RNA, 425 nt
Filed under: uncultured bacterium
Lineage: Bacteria
Description: partial 16S ribosomal RNA
Rfam family: Bacterial small subunit ribosomal RNA
Source: RNAcentral
GUGGGGGAUAUUGCACAAUGGGGGAAACCCUGAUGCAGCAACGCCGCGUGUGGGAAGAAGGUUUUCGGAUUGUAAACCACUGUUCUUGGUGAAGAUAAUGACGGUAACCAAGGAGAAAGCUCCGGCUAACUACAUGCCAGCAGCCGCGGUAAUACGUAGGGAGCAAGCGUUGUCCGGAUUUACUGGGUGUAAAGGGUGCGUAGGCGGCUAGGCAAUUUAGACGUGAAAACCAUGGGCUCAACCUGUGGACUGCGUUUGAAACUGUUUAUCUUGAGUGAAGUAGAGGUAGGCGGAAUUCCCGGUGUAGCGGUGAAAUGCGUAGAGAGCGGGAGGAACACCAGUGGCGAAGGCGGCCUACUGGGCUUUAACUGACGCUGAGGCACGAAAGCAUGGGUAGCAAACAGGAUUAGAAACCCUUGUAGUCC